AACUUUCUUACUUGUCUAUCGAGAAUUUCUAUAGGUACCUCUUCAUAAGUCAAGCCUUCUUUAAUUUCUAUGGUAUCGGCAGGUAUUAUAUGCGACUCAUCAUGAAUGUACUUUCUAAGCAUA
Non-coding RNA from Nicotiana tabacum (common tobacco), 123 nucleotides. The record is from RefSeq and is a predicted model, not a curated record. Lineage: Eukaryota; Viridiplantae; Streptophyta; Magnoliopsida; Solanales; Solanaceae.